Molecule: ribosomal RNA, 509 nt
Filed under: uncultured bacterium
Lineage: Bacteria
Description: bacterial SSU rRNA
Rfam family: Bacterial small subunit ribosomal RNA
Source: RNAcentral
GAGUUUGAUCCUGGCUCAGGACGAACGCUGGCGGCGUGCCUAAUACAUGCAAGUUGAGCGCUGAAGGUUGGUACUUGUACCAACUGGAUGAGCAGCGAACGGGUGAGUAACGCGUGGGGAAUCUGCCUUUGAGCGGGGGACAACAUUUGGAAACGAAUGCUAAUACCGCAUAAAAACUUUAAACACAAGUUUUAAGUUUGAAAGAUGCAAUUGCAUCACUCAAAGAUGAUCCCGCGUUGUAUUAGCUAGUUGGUGAGGUAAAGGCUCACCAAGGCGAUGAUACAUAGCCGACCUGAGAGGGUGACCGGCCACAUUGGGACUGAGACACGGCCCAGACUCCUACGGGAGGCAGCAGUGGGGAAUAUUGCACAAUGGGCGAAAGCCUGAUGCAGCGACGCCGCGUGAAGGAUGAAGUAUUUCGGUAUGUAAACUUCUAUCAGCAGGGAAGAAAAUGACGGUACCUGACUAAGAAGCCCCGGCUAACUACGUGCCAGCCGCCGCGGUAAUUC